AGCUGCCACUACUGCCGCUCUCUGCCCGCCGGCCCGUCUACCCCCAGCAUGAGCGGCCUGUGCGUCUACAGCACGUCGGUCACCGACUCCUGCGAAAUCAAGUCCCAGCAGAGCGAGGUGACCCGAAUCCUGGAUGGGAAGCGCAUCCAAUACCAGCUAGUGGACAUCUCCCAGGACAACGCCCUGAGGGAUGAGAUGCGAGCCUUGGCGGGCAACCCCAAGGCCACCCCACCCCAGAUUGUCAAAGGGGACCAGUACUGUGGGGACUAUGAGCUCUUCGUGGAGGCCGUGGAACAAAACACGCUGCAGGAGUUCCUGAAGCUGGCCUGAGUCAAGCCUGUCCAGAGUUCCCCUGCUGGACUCCAUCACCACACUCCCCCCAGCCUUCAACUGGCCAUGAAGGACCUUUUGACCAACUCCCUGUCAUUCCUAUCCUAACCUUAGAGUCCCUCCCGCAAUCCAGGCCACUUCUCCUCCCUCCUCUCUAAAUGUAGUCCCCUCUUCUCCAUCCAAAGGCAACAUUCCUUACCUAUUAGUCUCAGAAAUUGUCUUAAGCAACAGCCCCAAAUGCUGGCUGCCCCCAGCCAAGCAUUGGGGCCGCCAUCCUGCCUGGCACUGGCUGAUGGGCACCUCUAUUGGUUCCAUCAGCCAGAGCUCUGCCAAAGGCCCCGCAGUCCCUCUCCCAGGAGGACCCUAGAGACAAUUAAAUGAUGUCCUGUUCCAUUGG
Rhinopithecus roxellana (golden snub-nosed monkey) is the source of this 727-nucleotide RNA transcript. It is a transcript of the gene named SH3 domain-binding glutamic acid-rich-like protein 3 pseudogene, with no coding region annotated. The record is from RefSeq and is a predicted model, not a curated record. The transcript has a single exon. Lineage: Eukaryota; Metazoa; Chordata; Mammalia; Primates; Cercopithecidae.